RNAcentral lists this ribosomal RNA (523 nucleotides) under uncultured eukaryote. RNAcentral describes it as "bacterial SSU rRNA". It matches the Rfam family "Eukaryotic small subunit ribosomal RNA", at positions 21 to 550 of the family's 1831-position model. The record is from RNAcentral.
UAGUCAUAUGCUUGUCUUAAAGAUUAAGCCAUGCAUGUCCAAGUAUAAGCCCUUAGGGGUGAAACUGCGGAUGGCUCAUUAAAUCGGUUCGAAUCUACAUGAGAAUUUCAUUUAAAUGGAUAACCACGGAAAAUCUGCGGCUAAUACAUGCACAAAAGGGGUACUUCUGGUGCCUCAGCAUUUAUCAGCUUAUGAAUCGGAUGGGAGUCGCAAGACUCUCUAGGUGAAUCAUGAUAAAAAUAAUGUGGAUCGCAUGGCCUUGAGCUGGCGAUGUUUCAUUCGACAUUCCGCCCUAUCAACUUUGGAUGGUAGUGUAGUGGACUACCAUGGUGGUUACGGGUGACGGAGAAUUGGGGUUCGAUUCCGGAGAGGGAGCCUGAGAGAUGGCUACCACUUCCAAGGAAGGCAGCAGGCGCGAAAAUUGCCAAACCUACAAAGUAGGAGGCAGUGACAAUAAAUAUCGGAGGGUCAAAUGAUCCGACUGGAAUGAGAUGAAAGUAAAUUUAUCUACGAGAAACAAUUG